This 492-nucleotide ribosomal RNA is filed under the name uncultured bacterium. Its description in RNAcentral is "partial 16S ribosomal RNA". It matches the Rfam family "Bacterial small subunit ribosomal RNA", at positions 29 to 507 of the family's 1533-position model. The record is from RNAcentral.
AGUGAGCGCUGGCGGUAGGCCUAACACAUGCAAGUCGAACGGCAGCACAGUAAGAGCUUGCUCUUACGGGUGGCGAGUGGCGGACGGGUGAGGAAUACAUCGGAAUCUACUUUUUCGUGGGGGAUAACGUAGGGAAACUUACGCUAAUACCGCAUACGACCUACGGGUGAAAGCAGGGGAUCUUCGGACCUUGCGCGAUUGAAUGAGCCGAUGUCGGAUUAGCUAGUUGGCGGGGUAAAGGCCCACCAAGGCGACGAUCCGUAGCUGGUCUGAGAGGAUGAUCAGCCACACUGGAACUGAGACACGGUCCAGACUCCUACGGGAGGCAGCAGUGGGGAAUAUUGGACAAUGGGCGCAAGCCUGAUCCAGCCAUACCGCGUGGGUGAAGAAGGCCUUCGGGUUGUAAAGCCCUUUUGUUGGGAAAGAAAAGCAGCAGGUUAAUACCCCGCCGUUCUGACGGUACCCAAAGAAUAAGCACCGGCUAACUUCGUG